ACGCGUUAAAUCGACCGCCUGGGGAGUACGGCCGCAAGGUUAAAACUCAAAUGAAUUGACGGGGGCCCGCACAAGCGGUGGAGCAUGUGGUUUAAUUCGAUGCAACGCGAAGAACCUUACCUGGUCUUGACAUCCACAGAACUUAGCAGAGAUGCUUUGGUGCCUUCGGGAACUGUGAGACAGGUGCUGCAUGGCUGUCGUCAGCUCGUGUUGUGAAAUGUUGGGUUAAGUCCCGCAACGAGCGCAACCCUUAUCCUUUGUUGCCAGCGGUUAGGCCGGGAACUCAAAGGAGACUGCCAG
RNAcentral lists this ribosomal RNA (300 nucleotides) under Klebsiella quasipneumoniae subsp. quasipneumoniae. RNAcentral describes it as "bacterial SSU rRNA". It matches the Rfam family "Bacterial small subunit ribosomal RNA", at positions 855 to 1155 of the family's 1533-position model. The record is from RNAcentral. Lineage: Bacteria; Pseudomonadati; Pseudomonadota; Gammaproteobacteria; Enterobacterales; Enterobacteriaceae.